AGAGUUUGAUCCUGGCUCAGAAUGAACGUUGGCGGCGUGGAUUAGGCAUGCAAGUCGUGCGGCAGCGGGCCCUUCGGGGUGCCGGCGAGCGGCGAAAGGGAGAGUAACGCGUGGGUCACCUACCUUUAGACCCGGGAUAGCAGCGGGAAACUGCUGGUAAUACCGGAUAAUGUCUCCGGACCAAAGGUGUGAUUCCGUCUAGAGAUGGGCCCGCGUCCUAUUAGCUUGUUGGUGGGGUAAUGGCCUACCAAGGCUGUGAUGGGUACCGGGUGUGAGAGCAUGGCCCGGCUCACUGGGACUGAGACACUGCCCAGACACCUACGGGUGGCUGCAGUCGAGAAUCUUCGGCAAUGGGCGCAAGCCUGACCGAGCGACGCCGCGUGCGGGAUGAAGGCCUUCGGGUUGUAAACCGCUGUCAGAGGGGAAGAAAUGUUAGUAGGUUCUCCUACUCAUUUGACUGAUCCUCAGAGGAAGCACGGGCUAAGUUCGUGCCAGCAGCCGCGGUAACACGAACCGUGCGAACGUUAUUCGGAAUCACUGGGCUUAAAGA
Molecule: ribosomal RNA, 550 nt
Filed under: uncultured Planctomycetota bacterium
Lineage: Bacteria; Pseudomonadati; Planctomycetota
Description: bacterial SSU rRNA
Rfam family: Bacterial small subunit ribosomal RNA
Source: RNAcentral